RNAcentral lists this ribosomal RNA (405 nucleotides) under uncultured bacterium. RNAcentral's name for it is "bacterial SSU rRNA". It matches the Rfam family "Bacterial small subunit ribosomal RNA", at positions 30 to 437 of the family's 1533-position model. The record is from RNAcentral.
AUUGAACGCUGGCGGCAUGCCUUACACAUGCAAGUCGAACGGCAGCACGGGAGCAAUCCUGGUGGCGAGUGGCGAACGGGUGAGUAAUAUAUCGGAACGUGCCCGGUCGUGGGGGAUAACGUAGCGAAAGCUACGCUAAUACCGCAUACGAUCUACGGAUGAAAGCGGGGGAUCGCAAGACCUCGCGCGAUUGGAGCGGCCGAUAUCAGAUUAGGUAGUUGGUGAGGUAAAGGCUCACCAAGCCGACGAUCUGUAGCUGGUCUGAGAGGACGACCAGCCACACUGGGACUGAGACACGGCCCAGACUCCUACGGGAGGCAGCAGUGGGGAAUUUUGGACAAUGGGCGCAAGCCUGAUCCAGCAAUGCCGCGUGCAGGAUGAAGGCCUCGGUUGUAACUAGCUUUG